GUUGACCGCGCGCCUCGCCCACUUGGGCCAGAUCAGCGCCAAGACCCAGCGUCGCCCUGUGCCGGCCUCCCCUCUACACCGACCGGGCCUUGGCCCAUGGUGAGCAGACCCCCAACGCCCCUCCUCCGUUCCUACUUGGGCUUGGCCCGAUUCUGCUACUGCUGAUGUCAUGCGCCUAGUAGAUUCGGCCCGAUAUGUUUUUUCGCUGUUCCAGUGAUUUUAGCAUAAUCCAGAGAUUUACUGUUUUACAAAAAAGUCCUUGCACAUCAUGCAUAUAAUAACUCAUUAACCGUGCAUCGGUUUAAAAUGUUUUAAACAUGUAAAAUGCUUAGAAUUUCAUCUAGUUUCAUAAUAUGCUGCUUUCAUCCAUGUUUAAAAUGUAUAAAUUGUUGUUUGCGUUAAUUUUCUUAAACGCCAUGCUAAAAUGCUUUAUUUCAUAGCUAAAUAACCGUAGAUCCAAAUUAAAUAAACUUUAUAUGUAAAUGGGGUAGAAAAAUGCCUAGUCUAACAUGGUGCACUUUAUUUUGCUGUUUAACAACAUUAAAAUUGUGUUUAUGGAAAAACAGUGCCAAAUCUAAAAUAUGCACAUGAGGAUUUUACGGAAUUGUUGUUUGUUGUUCCGGUCUCAUUUAAACUUGCCUAGAUAGGUAGUUUUCUUAUGCCUCACCUCUUGCCGUGUUAAUCAACAUUUAAUAUUGUUGGGUACAUAACCGAGAGAGAACUAAAUAAUCGUAUGUGGUGUUUCGUCAAUAUGCAACUUGUCACAUAUUGAGCUCCACUUAACUUGUAGUAUUGUUUGUUGCACUUUGCCAUGCCAUGCCUCUUUAAACCAGACAUGCAUCAUCCUUGGUUGUGCAUCAUCCCAUGUUUAUGUGAUGGUUGUUUACCAUGUUGUUUGUUUCUUUCCAGGUUGCUUCUCUCGUUAGCUUCGGUUUCGUUCCGGAGUUGUGAGGAUUCGUUCGACUAUGUCUGUUUGUCUUCUUCAUGGACUCGUUCUUCUUCCUUGCGGAAUUUCUCGCAAGGUGACCAUUACCCUCGAUAUCACUUCUAUCUUUGCUUGCUAGUUGUUCGCUCUAUCGCUAUGUCGCGCUACCUACCACUUGUUUAUCAUGCCUCCCAUAUAGCCAUGUCAAGCCUCUAACCCACCUUCCUAGCAAACCAUUGUUUGGCUAUGUUACCGCUUUGCUCAGCCCCUCUUAUAGCGUUGUUAGUUGCAGGUAAAGUUGAAGAUUGCUCCAUGUUGGAACAUGUUUAUGUUGGGAUAUCACAAUAUCUCUUAUUUUAAUUAAUGCAUCUAUAUACUUGGUAAAGGGUGGAAGGCUCGGCCUUAUGCCUGGUGUUUUGUUCCACUCUUGCCACCCUAGUUUCCGUCAUACCGGUGUUAUGUUCCUCGAUUUUGCGUUCCUUAUGCGGUUGAGGAAUUAUGGGACCCCCUUGACAGUUUGCUUUGAAUAAAACUCCUCCAGCAAGGCCCAACCUUGGUUUUAACAUUUGCCACCUAAGCCUUUUUCCCUUGGGUUCUGCAGACUCAAGGGUCAUCUUUAUUUUAAACCCCCCCGGGCCAGUGCUCCUUUGAGUGUUGGUCCGAAACGGGCAGCCUGCGGGGCCACCUCGGGGCAACUUGAGGGAUGGUUUUACUCGUAGCUUGACCUAUCCGGUGUGCCCUGAGAAUGAGAUACAUGCGACGCCUAUUGGGAUUUGUCGGCACAUCGGGCUGCUUUGCUGGUCUUGUUUUACCAUUGUCGAAAUGUCUUGUAACCGGGAUUCCGAGCCUGAUCGGGUCUUCCCGGGAGAAGGAAUAUCUUUUAUUGAUCGUGAGAGCUUGUGAUGGGCUAAGUUGGGACACCCCAGCAGGGUAUAAACUUUCGAAAGCCAUGCCCGCGGUUAUGUGGCAGAUGGGAAUUUGUUAAUGUCCGGUUGUAGAGAACUGGGCACUUGACUUAAUUGAAAUGCAUCAACCGCGUGUGUAACCGUGAUGGUCUCUUUUCGGCGGAGUCCGGGAAGUGAACGCGGUUGUGGGUUAUGUAUGAACAUAAGUAGUUUCAGGAUCACUUCUUGAUCACUUCUAGCUUCUUGAUCGUGGCAUUGCUUCUCUUCUCGCUCUUAUUUGCGUAUGUUAGCCACCAUAUAUGCUUAGUGCUUGCUGCAGCUCCACCCCAUUACACCUUUCCUACCCAUAAGCUUAAAUAGUCUUGAUCUUGCGGGUUUUGAGAUUGCUGAGUCCUCGUGACUUACAGAUACUACCAAAACAGUUGCAUGUGCCGGUGAUACCAGUGCAGGUGAUGCUACCGAACUCAAGUGGUAGUUCGACGUGGACCUUGGUCGUUACUACGUUUCGUUUCCUGAUGAUCAGUAGUGGGGCCCAGUUGGGACGAUCGGGCAUCUAGCAUUUGGGGCUGUCUUCUUUUAUUUUGGUUCUGUAGUCGGACCUUGAUUGUACUCUGAAUGAUGUAUGUUCAAUUAAUGUAUUGUGUGAAGUGGCGAUUGUAAGCCAACUCUUUAUCCCAUUCUUGUUCAUUACAUGGGAUUGUGUGAAGAUGACCCUUCUUGCGACAAAACCACCAUGCGUUAUGCCUCUAAGUCGUGCCUCGACACGUGGGAGAUAUAGCCGCAUGGUGGGUGUUACAUUGGUGCCUCUCCGAUGAUGUGUGAGUAGUUCAUUGUAGACCUAUGGGUCCGUAGUUAGUAGCUAGAUGGCUUCCUCUCUCUAUUUUGAUUCUCAAUACAAUGAUCCCUUGGAGAUCUAUUUGAUGUAACUCCUUUUGCGGUGUGUUUGUUGGGAUCCGAUGAACUCUGAGUGUAUGAUUAGAUCUAUUUUAUCCAUGAAAGUUAUUCGAGUUUUGAUCUCUUAUAUGCAUGAUUGCUUAUAGCCUUGUAUUUCUUCUUCAAAUCUUUGGUUUAGUUAGGCCGACUAGAUGGAUUUUUCUUGCAAUGGGAAGAGGUGCUUUGUGAUGGGUUCGAUCUUACGGUGCUCAAUCUCAGUGACAGAAGGGGACAUGACACGUAUGUAUCGUUGCUAUUAAGGAUAACAAGAUUGGGUCUAUUCCUACAUGAAUAGAUCUUGUCUACAUCAUGUCAUUGUUCUUAUUGCAUUACUCUGUUUUUCCGUGAAGUUAAUACACUAGAUGCAUGCUGGAUAGCGGUCGAUGUGUGGAGUAAUAGUAGUAGAUACAGGUAGGAGUCGGUCUACUAAUCUUGGACGUGAUACCUAUAUAAUGAUUAUUGCCUGGAUAUCAUCAUAAUUAUUUGAAGUUGUAUAAAUCGUGCAACAGAAAUUUGUUUACCAGAUGUAUGCUAUUUUUCUCAAGAGAAG
This 3313-nucleotide long non-coding RNA is filed under the name Triticum aestivum (bread wheat). RNAcentral's name for it is "long non-coding RNA (TAES_LNC004358)". The record is from RNAcentral. Lineage: Eukaryota; Viridiplantae; Streptophyta; Magnoliopsida; Poales; Poaceae.